Molecule: ribosomal RNA, 1450 nt
Filed under: Salmonella enterica subsp. enterica serovar Derby
Lineage: Bacteria; Pseudomonadati; Pseudomonadota; Gammaproteobacteria; Enterobacterales; Enterobacteriaceae
Also listed under: 3 other names
Description: partial 23S ribosomal RNA
Rfam family: Bacterial large subunit ribosomal RNA
Source: RNAcentral
AGACCCGAAACCCGGUGAUCUAGCCAUGGGCAGGUUGAAGGUUGGGUAACACUAACUGGAGGACCGAACCGACUAAUGUUGAAAAAUUAGCGGAUGACCUGUGGCUGGGGGUGAAAGGCCAAUCAAACCGGGAGAUAGCUGGUUCUCCCCGAAAGCUAUUUAGGUAGCGCCUCGUGAAUUCAUCUCCGGGGGUAGAGCACUGUUUCGGCUAGGGGGCCAUCCCGGCUUACCAACCCGAUGCAAACUGCGAAUACCGGAGAAUGUUAUCACGGGAGACACACGGCGGGUGCUAACGUCCGUCGUGAAGAGGGAAACAACCCAGACCGCCAGCUAAGGUCCCAAAGUCAUGGUUAAGUGGGAAACGAUGUGGGAAGGCCCAGACAGCCAGGAUGUUGGCUUAGAAGCAGCCAUCAUUUAAAGAAAGCGUAAUAGCUCACUGGUCGAGUCGGCCUGCGCGGAAGAUGUAACGGGGCUAAACCAUGCACCGAAGCUGCGGCAGCGACGCUGAUGCGUUGUUGGGUAGGGGAGCGUUCUGUAAGCCUGCGAAGGUGGCCUGUGAGGGUUGCUGGAGGUAUCAGAAGUGCGAAUGCUGACAUAAGUAACGAUAAAGCGGGUGAAAAGCCCGCUCGCCGGAAGACCAAGGGUUCCUGUCCAACGUUAAUCGGGGCAGGGUGAGUCGACCCCUAAGGCGAGGCCGAAAGGCGUAGUCGAUGGGAAACGGGUUAAUAUUCCCGUACUUGGUGUUACUGCGAAGGGGGGACGGAGAAGGCUAUGUUGGCCGGGCGACGGUUGUCCCGGUUUAAGCGUGUAGGUGUGUGUUCCAGGUAAAUCCGGUUCACUUUAACACUGAGGCGUGAUGACGAGGCACUACGGUGCUGAAGCAACAAAUGCCCUGCUUCCAGGAAAAGCCUCUAAGCAUCAGGUAACAUCAAAUCGUACCCCAAACCGACACAGGUGGUCAGGUAGAGAAUACCAAGGCGCUUGAGAGAACUCGGGUGAAGGAACUAGGCAAAAUGGUGCCGUAACUUCGGGAGAAGGCACGCUGACACGUAGGUGAAGUGAUUUACUCAUGGAGCUGAAGUCAGUCGAAGAUACCAGCUGGCUGCAACUGUUUAUUAAAAACACAGCACUGUGCAAACACGAAAGUGGACGUAUACGGUGUGACGCCUGCCCGGUGCCGGAAGGUUAAUUGAUGGGGUCAGCGCAAGCGAAGCUCCUGAUCGAAGCCCCGGUAAACGGCGGCCGUAACUAUAACGGUCCUAAGGUAGCGAAAUUCCUUGUCGGGUAAGUUCCGACCUGCACGAAUGGCGUAAUGAUGGCCAGGCUGUCUCCACCCGAGACUCAGUGAAAUUGAACUCGCUGUGAAGAUGCAGUGUACCCGCGGCAAGACGGAAAGACCCCGUGAACCUUUACUAUAGCUUGACACUGAACAUUGAGCCUUGAUGUGUAG